RNAcentral lists this ribosomal RNA (730 nucleotides) under uncultured bacterium. Its description in RNAcentral is "bacterial SSU rRNA". It matches the Rfam family "Bacterial small subunit ribosomal RNA", at positions 771 to 1501 of the family's 1533-position model. The record is from RNAcentral.
AACAGGAUUAGAUACCCUGGUAGUCCACGCCGUAAACGAUGUCGACUUGGAGGUUGUGCCCUUGAGGCGUGGCUUCCGGAGCUAACGCGUUGAGUCGACCGCCUGGGGAGUACGGCCGCAAGGUUAAAACUCAAAUGAAUUGACGGGGGCCCGCACAAGCGGUGGAGCAUGUGGUUUAAUUCGAUGCAACGCGAAGAACCUUACCUACUCUUGACAUCCAGAGAACUUAGCAGAGAUGCUUUGGUGCCUUCGGGAACUCUGAGACAGGUGCUGCAUGGCUGUCGUCAGCUCGUGUUGUGAAAUGUUGGGUUAAGUCCCGCAACGAGCGCAACCCUUAUCCUUUGUUGCCAGCGGUUCGGCCGGGAACUCAAAGGAGACUGCCAGUGAUAAACUGGAGGAAGGUGGGGAUGACGUCAAGUCAUCAUGGCCCUUACGAGUAGGGCUACACACGUGCUACAAUGGCAUAUACAAAGAGAAGCGACCUCGCGAGAGCAAGCGGACCUCAUAAAGUAUGUCGUAGUCCGGAUUGGCGUCUGCAACUCGACUCCAUGAAGUCGGAAUCGCUAGUAAUCGUGGAUCAGAAUGCCACGGUGAAUACGUUCCCGGGCCUUGUACACACCGCCCGUCACACCAUGGGAGUGGGUUGCAAAAGAAGUAGGUAGCUUAACCUUCGGGAGGGCGCUUACCACUUUGUGAUUCAUGACUGGGGUGAAGUCGUAACAAGGUAACC